Molecule: ribosomal RNA, 770 nt
Filed under: Pseudomonas sp. SU-EBT
Lineage: Bacteria; Pseudomonadati; Pseudomonadota; Gammaproteobacteria; Pseudomonadales; Pseudomonadaceae
Description: bacterial SSU rRNA
Rfam family: Bacterial small subunit ribosomal RNA
Source: RNAcentral
CCUAUUUUUUUUACCCGCUCAGAUUGAACGCUGGCGGCAGGCCUAACACAUGCAAGUCGAGCGGAUGACGGGAGCUUGCUCCUUGAUUCAGCGGCGGACGGGUGAGUAAUGCCUAGGAAUCUGCCUGGUAGUGGGGGACAACGUUUCGAAAGGAACGCUAAUACCGCAUACGUCCUACGGGAGAAAGCAGGGGACCUUCGGGCCUUGCGCUAUCAGAUGAGCCUAGGUCGGAUUAGCUAGUUGGUGGGGUAAUGGCUCACCAAGGCGACGAUCCGUAACUGGUCUGAGAGGAUGAUCAGUCACACUGGAACUGAGACACGGUCCAGACUCCUACGGGAGGCAGCAGUGGGGAAUAUUGGACAAUGGGCGAAAGCCUGAUCCAGCCAUGCCGCGUGUGUGAAGAAGGUCUUCGGAUUGUAAAGCACUUUAAGUUGGGAGGAAGGGCAGUAAGUUAAUACCUUGCUGUUUUGACGUUACCGACAGAAUAAGCACCGGCUAACUCUGUGCCAGCAGCCGCGGUAAUACAGAGGGUGCAAGCGUUAAUCGGAAUUACUGGGCGUAAAGCGCGCGUAGGUGGUUCGUUAAGUUGGAUGUGAAAGCCCCGGGCUCAACCUGGGAACUGCAUCCAAAACUGGCGAGCUAGAGUACGGUAGAGGGUGGUGGAAUUUCCUGUGUAGCGGUGAAAUGCGUAGAUAUAGGAAGGAACACCAGUGGCGAAGGCGACCACCAUGGACUGAUACUGACACUGAUGGUGCGCAGUCGUCAAGUCC